CCUACGGGAGGCAGCAGUGGGGAAUAUUGGGCAAUGGGCGAAAGCCUGACCCAGCGACGCCGCGUGAGGGACGAAGGCCUUCGGGUUGUAAACCUCUUUUCAGCAGGGAAGAAGCGAAAGUGACGGUACCUGCAGAAGAAGCACCGGCUAACUACGUGCCAGCAGCCGCGGUAAUACGUAGGGUGCAAGCGUUGUCCGGAAUUAUUGGGCGUAAAGAGCUCGUAGGUGGUUUGCCACGUCGGAUGUGAAAACCUGAGGCUUAACCUCAGGCCUGCAUUCGAUACGGGCAGACUAGAGUGUGGUAGGGGAGACUGGAAUUCCUGGUGUAGCGGUGAAAUGCGCAGAUAUCAGGAGGAACACCGGUGGCGAAGGCGGGUCUCUGGGGCCAGUAACCUGACACUGAGGAGCGAAAGCGUGGGGAGCAAACAGGAUUAGAUACCCUGGUAGUCCACGCCGUAAACGGUGGGCACUAGAUGUGGGGACCUUCCACGGUCUCUGCGUCGCNGCUACGCAUAGUCGUCCCGCCGUCGGGUAGGUACGGCCGCGACGACGUAAACUACAAACGAAGUAGUACGACGCGAGAGUACGCGACGACGACGACGACGGAGGAGAG
This 613-nucleotide ribosomal RNA is filed under the name uncultured bacterium. RNAcentral describes it as "bacterial SSU rRNA". The stretch from base 1 to 526 matches the Rfam family "Bacterial small subunit ribosomal RNA", at positions 338 to 873 of the family's 1533-position model. The record is from RNAcentral.